AUGAGUAGUUGCUACCAAUUUAAUAAAGUCUUGUUGACAAUUUUUUGUCACCCAAAUUUUUUCAGAAAAUUGUACGCGAACAUGAUGAACCUUUUUGGAAGGAGUUCUUCGAGGAGGCGAUCCUCGGGGGCAUCUUCUAGUGACAGCUCCGCUCGCCCGUCAUAUGUUGAACCAAGUGAAAGUUCUACUCGAGAUGCCGCCACCAAAACAUGCUUAUGGCCUUGCGAUGAGUAUAUGGUGCGUGUGGGUAUUAAAGAGGAAUUUGAGCAAUAUGUUCACAAUGUCGGUCUCAGUCCCUACCUUUCAGAUAAGUGCGAACAAUGCCACCUUCUCACUGAAUCAUUUGUCAAAGGAUUUAAAUUCCUUCCCAGUGAGUCUAGGGUGUCGUUUAUGCUUUAUGAUAAUCCAUUUACCAUAUCACUAGAGAAUUUUGCUUACCACUGCCAACUCCCAUUCUGGGGUUCGCUUGACGAACCGCCAAGGGCUGAGUAUCAAACAUUCUUGACUAGUCUUUGUUGCGGUUAG
Molecule: ribosomal RNA, 525 nt
Filed under: Triticum aestivum (bread wheat)
Lineage: Eukaryota; Viridiplantae; Streptophyta; Magnoliopsida; Poales; Poaceae
Description: partial small subunit ribosomal RNA
Source: RNAcentral